This 429-nucleotide ribosomal RNA is filed under the name Pseudomonadota bacterium. Its description in RNAcentral is "Proteobacteria bacterium partial 16S ribosomal RNA". It matches the Rfam family "Bacterial small subunit ribosomal RNA", at positions 355 to 776 of the family's 1533-position model. The record is from RNAcentral. Lineage: Bacteria; Pseudomonadati; Pseudomonadota.
UGGGGAAUAUUAGACAAUGGGCGAAAGCCUGAUCCAGCCAUGCCGCGUGUGUGAAGAAGGUCUUCGGAUUGUAAAGCACUUUAAGUUGGGAGGAAGGGCAGUAAGCGAAUACCUUGCUGUUUUGACGUUACCGACAGAAUAAGCACCGGCUAACUCUGUGCCAGCAGCCGCGGUAAUACAGAGGGUGCAAGCGUUAAUCGGAAUUACUGGGCGUAAAGCGCGCGUAGGUGGUUCGUUAAGUUGAAUGUGAAAGCCCCGGGCUCAACCUGGGAACUGCAUCCAAAACUGGCGAGCUAGAGUAGGGCAGAGGGUGGUGGAAUUUCCUGUGUAGCGGUGAAAUGCGUAGAUAUAGGAAGGAACACCAGUGGCGAAGGCGACCACCUGGGCUCAUACUGACACUGAGGUGCGAAAGCGUGGGGAGCAAACAGG